UACGAAGGGAGCUAGCGUUGUUCGGAAUUACUGGGCGUAAAGCGCACGUAGGCGGGCCGCUAAGUCAGGGGUGAAAUCCCGGAGCUCAACUCCGGAACUGCCUUUGAUACUGGCGAGCUAGAGAUCGAGAGAGGUGAGUGGAAUUCCGAGUGUAGAGGUGAAAUUCGUAGAUAUUCGGAAGAACACCAGUGGCGAAGGCGGCUCACUGGCUCGAUACUGACGCUGAGGUGCGAAAGCGUGGGGAGCAAACAGG
RNAcentral lists this ribosomal RNA (253 nucleotides) under uncultured bacterium. RNAcentral's name for it is "partial 16S ribosomal RNA". It matches the Rfam family "Bacterial small subunit ribosomal RNA", at positions 524 to 776 of the family's 1533-position model. The record is from RNAcentral.